UGGAUUUUGGAUAACCAAUCUUAAACGUUUAUGUUUGUGUCUGUUUUUGGGGUGUGACUGGUGCUGUUUGGCUGCUGGUCCAGCAGAAGUGGCAGCCCUCUGUUGUUUUUCUGCUAUGGUGUGUCUUUGUUGCGGCUUGGAUUGCAUUUUGGGUCCUUGUAUGUGUUUUUUUUGGUGUUUUAGGCAUGACAGUAAGUUGUGUAACAGCUGAUGUGUGCAGUUGCUACAACUUCUGUAGUUGAUAAGGGAUAGAAUAAAUUAAAGGUAAAAAAGAGUAGUUAAGAUUUGUUACUUGUUUGAGUAGUUAGUUAGCUAUUUGGUUAGGUAGAGAAUACAAGGAUAGAGAU
This 347-nucleotide long non-coding RNA is filed under the name Medicago truncatula (barrel medic). RNAcentral's name for it is "long non-coding RNA (MTRU_LNC005049)". The record is from RNAcentral. Lineage: Eukaryota; Viridiplantae; Streptophyta; Magnoliopsida; Fabales; Fabaceae.